This 451-nucleotide ribosomal RNA is filed under the name uncultured bacterium. RNAcentral describes it as "partial 16S ribosomal RNA". It matches the Rfam family "Bacterial small subunit ribosomal RNA", at positions 28 to 507 of the family's 1533-position model. The record is from RNAcentral.
GAUGAACGCUGGCGGCGUGCCUAACACAUGCAAGUCGAGCGGCAGCGAGGGGUGCUUGCACCCUGCCGGCGAGCGGCGGACGGCUGAGUAACGCGUGGGAACGUACCCCAAAGUGCGGAAUAACUGCCCGAAAGGGUCUCUAAUACCGCAUAUUAUCUUCGGAUCAAAGGAUUUAUCCGCUUUGGGAGCGGCUCGCGUCGGAUUAGGUAGUUGGUGAGGUAAUGGCUCACCAAGCCGACGAUCCGUAGCUGGUCUGAGAGGAUGACCAGCGAGACUGGAACUGAGACACAGUCCAGACUCCUACGGGAGGCAGCAGUGAGGAAUCGUCCAAAAUGGGCGAAAGCACGAUGGAGCAACGCCGCGAGCAGGACGAAGGCCGUCGGGUUGUAAACUGCUUUUAUAAGUGAGGAAUAUGACGGUAACUAAUGAAUAAGGAUCGGCUAACUACGUG